RNAcentral lists this long non-coding RNA (1265 nucleotides) under Macaca mulatta (Rhesus monkey). Its description in RNAcentral is "lncRNA (ENSMMUG00000052670.1)". Lineage: Eukaryota; Metazoa; Chordata; Mammalia; Primates; Cercopithecidae. The record is from RNAcentral.
GAUACAGCCCUGGAUGCAGAGAACCAGAGACUUGAGGUUAAGACCUAGCUCUGGCACCAACUUCAACAAAUCACGUCAUCUAUCUCCACCUAUCUCCUUCACUGUGAAAUGAGAGGAUUGGACUAAAUGAUAUCUAAAUCUCCCCUGGCCUCCAUUGUUUCUGCUUCGUGGAUCCAUUUUAUGGAUUGAGAAAUCAAAGGCUAUUGACGAAAACGUUUGCAAUGUGCAGAUUCACUUGGAACACAGAAAGACUCAGAGAGCUGGCUCGACUCCCAGUGGCAACAGCUGGAGAGGAGGCAAGGAACCCUGGAACUGCCACCUGAUAGGCUGUCUUCCUAGCUCCUCUCGCACUGGCAAUCCUUUCAUCACACAGGCCUUGUUUUGAAAGGACCUAUCCCACCCACAGUGGUUUCUCACCUCUAGGAGGCCAAAAAGCUGUAGUCAAUUGCUGUGGCAUCAGGAACUCCAGUUCUUCUCAGAGGUGUUGUGAAGAGCUUCCCUUCCAACAGUACAUGGCCUAAAUACCAGGGAGGAAGUAUCUGACUCUUCCCAUCUUCAGUGAAACAGAACAACUGUUGUGGAUGCAGUGGCUUUGCAAGGAGAGUGGCAUUGUCUCUUGGUGAAUGUAGUUGUUCAGGGCAUGGGGAGGAGACAGGUUUAGUUUUGAUGCAUAUAUUUUCACUAUUAGUUCUCAAUAGUGAAAAUCUUAAUUCACAGAUGAGCCAAGAUAGGAGGGCAUAUUCCCAACAUAAAUGAGACACGAAGACAGUUUAGGUAAAAAGUGAAAUCAGCUUUAUUGUGAAACUAUAAUCAAAGAAGAACUGGCUAUUGGUGCUACCACCUGGAUUCAAGAAGGUGGACAAAAUGACCUCAAAAUCAACCCACAAGUACUUACCGAGCAUCCACAGUUUGUCAGGUACUCUCUAUUGUAAGUCUGUUUCCUCUAGAGCUGUGCUGUUACUCUAGAGCAGGGGUCAGCAAACUAUGGCCCUUGGGCCAAAUCUAGCCACCUGCUUUAGUCAAUAAAGUUUUAUUAGAAUGUAGCCAUGCCCAUUCAUUUACCUAUUGUCUGUGCCUGCCUUCAUACUACACUGGCAAAGGUCAGUAGAGUCAUGAAUCACGAUGGGGAUAAAGUUUGAGAAAUGUUAGGCAAUUUCCUCAUUGUGUGAACAUCAGAAAGUGUACUUACACAAACCUAGAUAUAUAGCCUACUGUACACCUAGGCUGUAUGGUAUAGCCUAUUGCUCCUACACAGCAUGUUACUG